CCGCGCAUCUCUCCUCUGCAUCCGCGCACGGGGACGCCGUUUCCUUUCAUUCUUUCUUUCCGCGUUCCCAUUCUGGAACAGUCGCUGUUGGUGCGCGGAGCCCCACGGGCAGACACGACCGCGGGUUCUCCUCCAACCCUCAGCUCCAUCACUACAAGUGGCUUUGCCAUGCCAUGGGCACAGGCACCCACUCAACCCGAGAAGCAGCCCAGAACCACGGCUUUGGCUGCAGCAGCCUCUGCUUUGCUGGGCUGCAGGAAGAAGUGAAAGCCUCUCUGUUAGCUGCAGAUGUGCAUAUGAAUGUGAAGCAUUUGCCUAAUAAAUAGCUUCCUAAAGGGUGAUUAA
This is a long non-coding RNA of Numida meleagris (helmeted guineafowl), 345 nucleotides long. RefSeq lists it as uncharacterized. The record is from RefSeq and is a predicted model, not a curated record. The transcript is spliced from 2 exons. NCBI's taxonomy places the organism in Eukaryota, Metazoa, Chordata, Aves, Galliformes, Numididae.